CCUACGGGGGGCAGCAGUCGAGAAUCAUUCACAAUGGGGGAAACCCUGAUGGUGCGACGCCGCGUGGGGGAAUGAAGGUCUUCGGAUUGUAAACCCCUGUCAUGUGGGAGCAAAUUAAAAAGAUAGUACCACAAGAGGAAGAGACGGCUAACUCUGUGCCAGCAGCCGCGGUAAUACAGAGGUCUCAAGCGUUGUUCGGAAUCACUGGGCGUAAAGCGUGCGUAGGCUGUUUCGUAAGUCGUGUGUGAAAGGCGCGGGCUCAACCCGCGGACGGCACAUGAUACUGCGAGACUAGAGUAAUGGAGGGGGAACCGGAAUUCUCGGUGUAGCAGUGAAAUGCGUAGAUAUCGAGAGGAACACUCGUGGCGAAGGCGGGUUCCUGGACAUUAACUGACGCUGAGGCACGAAGGCCAGGGGAGCGAAAGGGAUUA
RNAcentral lists this ribosomal RNA (431 nucleotides) under uncultured bacterium. RNAcentral's name for it is "bacterial SSU rRNA". It matches the Rfam family "Bacterial small subunit ribosomal RNA", at positions 338 to 780 of the family's 1533-position model. The record is from RNAcentral.